CUCUCUCGCACGAUCUGCUCCCGGACUCCUUCAGCGCGCUGCCUGCCUGCCCAGGGCCUUCCCGGAGAGCAGGUGACGGCGGCCUCCGGGCAUGGAGCUCGCGCUGACGAAAGGUUCUGGAAGCCGCCGUAAAAAGUAAUCAAGAAACGGGUGACAGGACUUUUCGAACAAGGUCUCACCAUGCUGCCCAAGCUGGUCUGAAAACUCUUGUCCUCAGGCAGUCCUCCCACCUCGGCCUCCCAAAGAUCUGAGAUUACAGGCAUGAGCCACCACACCUGGCCUUGGUUUUAAUUCCUGUCACAGUAUAUUAGUUUUCGCUGUUGUGUAUUGAUUGAUUGAGACAGGGUCUCGCUCUGUUGCCCAGGCUGGAGUGCAGGGGCAUGAUCCCAGCUCACUGCAACCUCCACCUCUUGGAUUCAAGUGAUUCUCCCGUCUCAGCCUCCCGAGUAACAGGAACCACAGGUGUGUGCCAGCACGCCUGGCUAAUUUUUUUUUUUUUUUUCUUGAGGUGGAGUUUCACUGUUGUUGCCCAGGUUGGAGUGCAGUGGCACAAUCUCAGCUCACUGCAACCUCUGCCUCCUGGGUUCAAGUGAUUCUCCUGCUUCAGCCUCACGAGUUGUUGGGAUUACAGGCGCCCGCCACCACGCCCAGGUAAUUUUUGUUUAGUAGAGACGGGGUUUCACCAUGUUGGCCUGGCUGGUCUCGAACUCCUGACCUCAGGUGAUCCACCCACCUCGGCCUCCCAAAGUUGUGGGAUUGCAGGCGUGAGCCACUGCGCCUGGCCUAAUUUUUCAAUUUUUUGGUGGAGAUAGGGUUUCACCAUGUUGGCCAGGCUGGAGUUUUGCCUGUUCUAGAAGCUUGUAUCAGUCAUACAACACCCCUUUGAGGAACCGUUUGAGGUGUGGCACGAUACAGCAAGUCAGCUGCCAAAGAGGGGCUUAGCCACAGGAAGUGCGUGCCCAGAACGCAGUUCUAUGAGGCUGGCUGCCCUGUUUGACAACUGAGGCCCGCAUCUUCCCCGGAAUCACCGACGUGUGGCUCUGAGCCCUGUCCCAGGGAUUUUCUCCAUCAGAGAAGAGGAGCACUUUGAGCUUUGAGAGGAGCAGCCCUCUGCAAGUGAAGUGGAAAAAAAGGAAGCAGGCGAGGAGGCCCAUCCAGACCCUCCCCCAAGACCCUUGCUGAAAUGGCUGGGAUGCGGCGUGCAGAAGCUCUCCUUUCCUUCACAGCCCCUGGCUUUCCAAGAGUCCCUGCCCACCCAGAUGCCCGCUGGCAGAUGCAGCCUCAUCUCAAGGACACUGCUUGCUGGAUAAAUCCCUCACCACCCUAGAGACAGCCCACGGUCCUGAGACAAGGAUGCGGGCCAGGCUUGUUGCACGUAAGCGCCUCCCGCAGAAACCAGUGAGGCCGGAGUUCCAGAGGAAAUGAUGUAGGGACAGAGGCAGAGGGCCUCCAGGAGGCACCAGCCCCAGAGUCUUCCCUAGAAUCAGACUUUAAGCACAAGCAGGGAGGGAAAGCACUUGAGCAGUGCCCGUCCCUGCAUACCUGGCCUCUGCUGGAACCCAUGCAGGGACAGGACACUUCUUUAUCAGCAAUCCUGUUCCUCUCCUGGGCAGCUUCAACCUGAACAUCCUCCUUCACCUUGAGCUAAAAUGGGUUUCUUGUCACCCUUGCCCAUCAAACCUGGCCUUGCCCUCAGGAACCACACAGGACAAGCCUAAUACUUCCUUCUUGUGGCAACACUUUAGCAAUUGAGACCUGGCUGUCAGGUCCUCCAAAUAAACAUUUGUGACUGUGAUGUUGACUUGCCGCUUCUGGGGACCUCUUCUCAUUUGAUCGGAGAAAGUUUUUCAGGGUUAAACCUACUUCUUUCCCCCAAGAAACUCUUCUUGUCAGGCUCACGCCUAUAAUCCUGGCACUUUGGGAGGCCAAGGCAGGAGGAUUGUUUGAGACCAGCCUGGGCAACGUAGGUAGACUAUGUUGCUACAAAAAGAAAAAGAAAAAAUGGCCAGGUGUAGUAGUCCCAGCUGCUUGGAGGCUGAGGUAGGAGGUUUGCUUGAGCCCAGGAGGUCGAGGCUGCAGUGAGCUAUGAUUGUGCCACUGCACUCUAGCCUGGGAGACAGAAUGAGGCCCUGUCUCAAAAAAAAAAAAAAAAAAAAAAAGAUGAUGAAACUCCUCACGUAUUUCUCCCCGGAGCAUGUGCUCCCAGGCUCAAAUCCACAGCAGCCUCGUUACACACACGUCAUCCCCUGGCCCCGAGAUAUUGCACCGCCUUCCCCUUUCUAGCUCUGAACCCCCACAUGAAGCAGCCAGACGUAGGAAAACCCAGAUUCAUAAAGCGCUGAUAUGGGUGGUCCUUUACCAAAGGAUUUUCUGCUUUACAAAGUAAUUCACCAAAUGAUUUCCCUAGAGUAUGGGCAGAGAUUUGCAAACUACAGCUUGGAACCAAGCUGCCUUUUUUUUAUAAUAAAGUUUUAUCAGGAUGCAUCCACAUCCAUUCAUCUCUGUGGUGCCAGCUGCUCUAGCUACACAGGCAGAGUGGAAGAGUUGCAGAUGGCCAACAAAACCUAAACUGUUUACCGCCUGGCCCCUUAUAGAAGCAGCUGGCUGACGCUGGCUCCAGGGCAUCAGAAAUGGGACCAUUGGAAAGGAGUAGCCGGGCUACAUGGUUUUUCUUCUGCCCCACGUCUUGUUCUCAAACAUGCUUCCUCCCCAGUCAUCUGAGGAAUGUCAGUCUGAGACAGUCAGGAGCAGGUGUGCCUAGGGAUGCAUGGUUUCUGAAAAUGGGGUGGGGUCUUUUAGGCUGAGGGCUCUGGCAGCUUCUGUCUGAAGGCUGAGCUGAGCUGAGCAGAGCUGGGCAUGGUGGCUCACGCCUGUAGUCCCGGCUACUCAGGAGGCCAAGGUGGGAGAAUCACUUGAGCCUGGGAAGUUCAGAGGAGCCUGGGCAACACAGUGAGACCUCAUCUUUAUUUUUUGAAAUUUUUUGUUUUUAUUAUUUUUUUAAUUUUUAGGAGCAGAGGGUUAAUAGGCAAAAGAAAGAGAGAGAGGAAAACAGCUCUCUCCAGUGAGAGAGAGGGUACUUCUGAAAGGAAAACGCCACCGGCAGCAGAUGCACUGGAUUUUAUAGUCAGGCUUGAGGAGGUGGUGUCUGAUUUACAUAGGGCUCACAGAUUGGUUCAGUCAGGUAUGAUGUUUACAUAGCGCUGGGGUGUGGGGAAGGCUGACCUCCCCACUCUAAUCUUAUUAUGCAAAUGAACUUUCCCCUUGGCCAGCACCAUCUUGUCUGCUCCUUACUGUGCACGUGGCUGGCAGAGAAGGGAAGAUGGAGCCGCCAUUUUGAACAUGAUUGGCACAACUGCCUGCAUCUAUGUCUGCAGCUCGAUUUUACACGCUGCUCUUUGUUAGAAAGGAAAAUGAUUUGGGGCUGCUUUUCAGUAAAAGGAAAACCUUACUGAGGACUUCUGUAUCCUCACUAUCUAAGUAAUUUCCUCUUAACUCCUGUAUCAUUCCCCACUCUGGAGUGGUAACCCUAACUGCUCUUCGGGGUUGUUUGAUGAUGACUCUUUCUGGCUACUUCAUACUUAAAAGGGGUGUUGUGUGGGGAACAGAAGCUAAGGGCUCCUCCUGGGGUCGAGCUAAGGGUCCUCGGAAAAAAGGCAUGUCCGUGCAUGGUUCUGUCUGCAGCACCAUUUAGAGUUUGAUUACUGUCAGCCAUUCUGAUGGGUUGUAACACUGGUUUGCCUCCACCAGAUGUUGAGAUAGUUUCCAGAUUCCAGAGAAACCAGG
This 3783-nucleotide long non-coding RNA is filed under the name Homo sapiens (human). Its description in RNAcentral is "HSALNT0227032". Lineage: Eukaryota; Metazoa; Chordata; Mammalia; Primates; Hominidae. The record is from RNAcentral.